AUUGAACGCUGGCGGCAGGCCUAACACAUGCAAGUCGAGCGGUAGAGAGAAGCUUGCUUCUCUUGAGAGCGGCGGACGGGUGAGUAAUGCCUAGGAAUCUGCCUAGUGGUGGGGGAUAACGUUCGGAAACGGACGCUAAUACCGCAUACGUCAUACGGGAGAAAGCGGGGGACCUUCGGGCCUCGCGCCAUUAGAUGAGCCUAGGUCGGAUUAGCUAGUUGGUGAGGUAAUGGCUCACCAAGGUUACGAUCCGUAACUGGUCUGAGAGGAUGAUCAGUCACACUGGAACUGAGACACGGUCCAGACUCCUACGGGAGGCAGCAGUGGGGAAUAUUGGACAAUGGGGGAAAGCCUGAUCCAGCCAUGCCGCGUGUGUGAAGAAGGUCUUCGGAUUGUAAAGCACUUUAAGUUGGGAGGAAGGGUAGUAACUUAAUACGUUGCUACUUUGACGUACCGACA
RNAcentral lists this ribosomal RNA (459 nucleotides) under uncultured Pseudomonas sp. Its description in RNAcentral is "bacterial SSU rRNA". It matches the Rfam family "Bacterial small subunit ribosomal RNA", at positions 30 to 483 of the family's 1533-position model. The record is from RNAcentral. Lineage: Bacteria; Pseudomonadati; Pseudomonadota; Gammaproteobacteria; Pseudomonadales; Pseudomonadaceae.